This 616-nucleotide ribosomal RNA is filed under the name Hepatozoon canis. Its description in RNAcentral is "bacterial SSU rRNA". It matches the Rfam family "Eukaryotic small subunit ribosomal RNA", at positions 216 to 822 of the family's 1831-position model. Lineage: Eukaryota; Apicomplexa; Hepatozoidae. The record is from RNAcentral.
AAAAAGCCGUUUUGCUUUUACAUUAUGAAAACCGGUGAUUUAUAAUAACUUAGCAAAUCGCAAAGUGAAAACAACCGAUAAAUCAUUCAAGUUUCUGACCUAUCAGCUUUCGACGGUAUGGUAUUGGCUUACCGUGGCAGUGACGGUUAACGGGGGAUUAGGGUUCGAUUCCGGAGAGGGAGCCUGAGAAACGGCUACCACAUCUAAGGAAGGCAGCAGGCGCGCAAAUUACCCAAUUCUAACAGUUUGAGAGAGGUAGUAACAAGAAAUAACAAUACAAGGCAGUUAAAAUGCUUUGUAAUUGGAAUGAUAGAAAUUUAAACCCUUUUUAAAGUAUCAAUUGGAGGGCAAGUCUGGUGCCAGCAGCCGCGGUAAUUCCAGCUCCAAUAGCGUAUAUUAAAAUUGUUGCAGUUAAAAAGCUCGUAGUUGAAGUUCUGCUGAAAGUAACCGGUCUGCUUUUAAUAAAAGUGGUAUCUUGGUAUGUAUUUAGCAAUGAUGUCCUUUGAAGUGUUUUUUACUUUAUUGUAAUAAAGCAUAUUCAGGACUUUUACUUUGAGAAAAUUAGAGUGUUUCUAGCAGGCUGACGCUUUGAAUACUGCAGCAUGGAAUAAUAAGA